GCGAAGUGAUGAUAGCAAUUCAUUAGUCUGUCAAUCCACUGAUAUUAGUGUGAUGUUACAAUGAAUCCCGACAGGUUCUGAUCGC
Small nucleolar RNA from Neltuma alba, 85 nucleotides. RefSeq annotates it as small nucleolar RNA snoR14. The transcript has a single exon. Lineage: Eukaryota; Viridiplantae; Streptophyta; Magnoliopsida; Fabales; Fabaceae. The record is from RefSeq and is a predicted model, not a curated record.